AGCUGUGUGUGUGAGGCUGUGUGUGUGAGGCUGUGUGUGAGGCUGUGUGUGUGAAGCUCUGUGUGUGAGGCUGUGUGUGUGAGGCUGUGUGUGAGGCUGUGUGUGUGAGUCUGUGUGUAGUGAAGUGUGUGUGAGGCUGUGUGUGUGUGUGUGCGUUCAGAUGGAUGGAAACUUAACAGCAUGUGGUUGAGUUAUCCCCCCUCCCAGACCCAUCAGCCCAAGGCCUUGCUGAAUGUAAUGUCAACAGCACCAUCAUUGUUCCCUGCAUCACAGUCAACAGGUGUCAGAUGGACAUGUCAGUGCUGGGCUGCUGGCAGAGAUAAUGGUGCUAGGCUGCUGGCAGAGAUAAUGGUGACAUGUCAGUGCUGGGCUGCUGGCAGAGAUAAUGGUGCUGGGUUGCUGACAGAGAUAAUGGUGCUGGGCUGCUGGCAGAGAUAAUGGUGCUGGGCUGCUGACAGAGAUAAUGGUGCUGGGCUGCUGGCAGAGAUAAUGGUGCUGGGCUGCUGGCAGAGAUAAUGGUGCUGGGCUGCUGGCAGAGAUAAUGGUGCUGGGCUGCUGGCAGAGAUAAUGGUGCUGGGCUGCUGACAGAGAUAAUGGUGCUGGGCUGCUGAUAGAGAUAACAGUGACAUGUCAGGGCUGGGCUGCUGGCAGAGAUAAUGGUGCUGGGCUGCUGGCAGAGAUAAUGGUGCUGGGCUGCUGGCAGAGAUAAUGGUGUUGGGCUGCUGGCAGAGAUAAUGGUGCUGGGCUGCUGACAGAGAUAAUGGUGCUGGGCUGCUGAUAGAGAUAACAGUGACAUGUCAGUACUGGGCUGCUGACAGAGAUAAUGGUGACAUGUCAUUGCUGGGCUGCUGACAGAGAUAAUGGUGACAUGUCAUUGCUGGGCUGCUGACAGAGAUAACAGUGACAUGUCAGUGCUGGGCUGCUGGCAGAGAUAAUGGUGCUGGGCUGCUGACAGAGAUAAUGGUGCUGGGCUGCUGACAGAGAUAACGGUGACAUGUCAGUGCUGGGCUGCUGACAGAGAUAACAGUGACAUGUCAGUGCUGGGCUGCUGACAGAGAUAACAGUGACAUGUCAGGGCUGGGCUGCUGGCAGAGAUAAUGGUGCUGGGCUGCUGACAGAGAUAACAGUGACAUGUCAGUGCUGGGCUGCUGACAGAGAUAAUGGUGCUGGGCUGCUGACAGAGAUAAUGGUGACAUGUCAGUGCUGGGCUGCUGGCAGAGAUAACAGUGACAUGUCAGUGCUGGGCUGCUGUCAGAGAUAAUGGUGCUGGGCUGCUGACAGAGAUAACAGUGACAUGUCAGGGCUGGGCUGCUGGCAGAGAUAAUGGUGCUGGGCUGCUGACAGAGAGAACAGUGACAUGUCAGUGCUGGGCUGCUGACAGAGAUAAUGGUGCUGGGCUGCUGACAGAGAUAAUGGUGACAUGUCAGUGCUGGGCUGCUGGCAGAGAUAACAGUGAC
Molecule: long non-coding RNA, 1457 nt
Organism: Oncorhynchus tshawytscha (Chinook salmon)
Lineage: Eukaryota; Metazoa; Chordata; Actinopteri; Salmoniformes; Salmonidae
Source: Ensembl